GUCCCCGUAGCUCAGCAGACAGAGUGGCUGAUUACGAAUCAGCAGGCCGCAGGUGCGAAUCCUGCCGGGGACACCA
This 76-nucleotide transfer RNA is filed under the name Prosthecobacter sp. RNAcentral's name for it is "tRNA-Arg". It matches the Rfam family "tRNA". Rfam says of the family: Transfer RNA (tRNA) molecules are approximately 80 nucleotides in length. The record is from RNAcentral. Lineage: Bacteria; Pseudomonadati; Verrucomicrobiota; Verrucomicrobiia; Verrucomicrobiales; Verrucomicrobiaceae.